RNAcentral lists this ribosomal RNA (477 nucleotides) under uncultured anaerobic ammonium-oxidizing bacterium. RNAcentral describes it as "bacterial SSU rRNA". It matches the Rfam family "Bacterial small subunit ribosomal RNA", at positions 365 to 832 of the family's 1533-position model. The record is from RNAcentral.
UUCGCAAUGCCCGAAAGGGUGACGAAGCGACGCCGCGUGGGUGAGGAAGGCCUUCGGGUUGUAAAGCCCUGUCAGGAGUUAAGAAAUGUAAGUGUGCUAAUAUCGCAUUUACUUGACGAAAGCUCCAAAGGAAGUCACGGCUAACUCUGUGCCAGCAGCCGCGGUAAUACAGAGGUGGCAAGCGUUGUUCGGAAUUAUUGGGCGUAAAGAGCACGUAGGUGGGUUUGUAAGUCAGAUGUGAAAGCCUCCUGUUCAACGGGAGAAUUGCAUCUGAAACUACUGAUCUUGAGUAUAGGAGGGGAGAAUGGAACUUCUGGUGGAGCGGUGAGAUGCGUAGAUAUCAGAAGGAACGCCGGCGGCGAAAGCGAUUCUCUGGCCUAUUACUGACACUCAGUGUGCGAAAGCUAGGGGAGCAAACGGGAUUAGAUACCCCGGUAGUCCUAGCCGUAAACGAUGGGCACUAAGUAGAGGGGUUUU